CGUGUAUUUGAGCGUUGCACAACGGCCACAAAAUCGAAGAUAAUCCAAACCAGAAAUGGCUAUGUGCUCUUUACUCGCGGCUAUGUCUCCUUACGCAGUUCCCAAACUGAGCUCAAAGCUGUAGGAAUCUAGGGCGAUGGUUUCUCGGAGUACUUAGACACGUAGGACCUCUUAAUUGUACAGAAACUUGAGGAAGAGAAGGUUGAGUGCUUGGUUGAAUGUAGCCAGGUUCGCGGAGAUUGAGCCCCAUCUCCGCGAAGACCACCAUGACCGUUGGGAGACUAACAAUAUCAGCAUGGAUGAUUUUAAGGUCGGGGAGUAUGAUGAGCACCACACUUACAACGAAGGCGAAUAGAAGAAAGCUUUUGGGGAUCAAUAGCAGAAGACAUUGAAGCAGUUGGAACCCCUACAGGUUUUCAGGGUCUUAUAUCAUGGUUUUUUUUUUCUCCCAGCAGCAAUUGCUGCUGGAAUGUAUUUCAACGCUCC
Long non-coding RNA from Pyrus x bretschneideri (Chinese white pear), 486 nucleotides. RefSeq lists it as uncharacterized. The transcript has 4 exons. Lineage: Eukaryota; Viridiplantae; Streptophyta; Magnoliopsida; Rosales; Rosaceae. The record is from RefSeq and is a predicted model, not a curated record.